UACGUAUGGAGCAAGCGUUAUCCGGAUUUACUGGGCGUAAAGGGAGUGUAGGCGGCCUGCCAAGUCUGAUGUGAAAUACCGGGGCUCAACCCCGGGGCUGCAUUGGAAACUGGCAGGCUGGAGUGCCGGAGAGACAGGCGGAAUUCCUAGUGUAGCGGUGAAAUGCGUAGAUAUUAGGAGGAACACCAGUGGCGAAGGCGGCCUGCUGGACGGUGACUGACGCUGAGGCUCGAAAGCGUGGGGAGCAAACAGG
RNAcentral lists this ribosomal RNA (253 nucleotides) under uncultured bacterium. RNAcentral's name for it is "partial 16S ribosomal RNA". It matches the Rfam family "Bacterial small subunit ribosomal RNA", at positions 524 to 776 of the family's 1533-position model. The record is from RNAcentral.